This is a long non-coding RNA of Armigeres subalbatus, 530 nucleotides long. RefSeq lists it as uncharacterized. The record is from RefSeq and is a predicted model, not a curated record. The transcript has 3 exons. NCBI's taxonomy places the organism in Eukaryota, Metazoa, Arthropoda, Insecta, Diptera, Culicidae.
UAAACAAUAUCAAAAGAAGAACGCGUACGUCAUACACGAUGCUCACUCGAAGGAAAAUCCAUUAGGGUCUCGCCGACAUUUCUCACCAACACGAACGCAGGUUCGUGGUUGCAAACAAUCCCAUUUGAUUUUGCCGUGACAGCUGCUCGUGGUUGCAAACAAACCGAGUAAAAGUGUGAGUGAAACGUGCGUGUACGUACACGAUCGCUGAAAGCCAUCAUAAAGAAAAUCCGUCGAACUUGAACGUUUUUGAAGUACUUAUCAGCUUCGUAAAUCGGUUCUCAUCGGUGGUAUAAACCUGUAUAAAGGACGAGCUCGUAGGCGGUUUACAAUCCUCCGGCUGGAUCGCGUAUAGGAUGCACUUUACGAGCCAAAGAAAGGUUGAUGGAAAUGAACGAAUUCGACUAUUGAUUUUGGGUAGAGGGCUCCUCCGAACGUAGAUUGUUGAUCCCAACUAGCCGUGCUCGGCCAAACUUAUGGGAGAAAAAACGGGAAUCAGUAAAAUGAUAGACGCAAUAAAUCAAUCAUCA